This 243-nucleotide long non-coding RNA is filed under the name Peromyscus maniculatus bairdii (prairie deer mouse). RNAcentral's name for it is "Nuclear RNase P (ENSPEMG00000004249.2)". It matches the Rfam family "Nuclear RNase P", at positions 1 to 240 of the family's 301-position model. Rfam says of the family: Ribonuclease P (RNase P) is a ubiquitous endoribonuclease, found in archaea, bacteria and eukarya as well as chloroplasts and mitochondria. Its best characterised activity is the generation of mature 5'-ends of tRNAs by cleaving the 5'-leader elements of precursor-tRNAs. Lineage: Eukaryota; Metazoa; Chordata; Mammalia; Rodentia; Cricetidae. The record is from RNAcentral.
UGCUUGGGAAGCUCAUCAGCAGGUCCAUUUUCUGAGUGCUUGUCAACUCCAUGGCCCCUGGGAAGGUCUGAGACCUGGACUUCCCGCCCCCCCCCCAGGAAUGGGGAGAUGAGGUCCCAAAAAGCAGGGCUCCACGUGUGGGCAGACUGGGCAGAAGAAACCCCAAGUGGGCAGAUUCCCCCAUUCUCCGGAGCUUGGAACAGACUCAUGGCCAGCACAGAGCAAGCUCUUAUUUCUUAAUUA